UACGGGAGCAGCAGUGGGAAUUUGGACAAUGGGGAACCUGAUCCAGCCAUCCCGCGUGUAUGAUGAAGGCCUUCGGGUUGUAAAGUACUUUGGCAGAGAAGAAAAGGUAUCCCCUAAUACGGGAUACUGCUGACGGUAUCUGCAGAAUAAGCACCGGCUAACUACGUGCCAGCAGCCGCGGUAAUACGUAGGGUGCAAGCGUUAAUCGGAAUUACUGGGCGUAUAGCGUGUGUAGGCGGUUCGGAAAGAAAGAUGUGAAAUCCCAGGGCUCAACCUUGGAACUGCAUUCUUAACUGCCGAGCUAGAGUAUGUCAGAGGGGGGUAGAAUUCCACGUGUAGCAGUGAAAUGCGUAGAUAUGUGGAGGAAUACCGAUGGCGAAGGCAGCCCCCUGGGAUAAUACUGACGCUCAGACACGAAAGCGUGGGGAGCAAACAGGAUUAGAUACCCUGGUAGUCCACGCCCUAAACGAUGUCAACUAGCUGUUGGGGCCGUUAGGCCUUAGUAGCGCAGCUAACGCGUGAAGUUGACCGCCUGGGGAGUACGGUCGCAAGAUUAAAACUCAAAGGAAUUGACGGGGACCCGCACAAGCGGUGGAUGAUGUGGAUUAAUUCGAUGCAACGCGAAAAACCUUACCUACCCUUGACAUGUCUGGAAAGCCGAAGAGAUUUGGCCGUGCUCGCAAGAGAACCGGAACACAGGUGCUGCAUGGCCGUCGUCAGCUCGUGUCGUGAGAUGUUGGGUUAAGUCCCGCAACGAGCGCAACCCUUGUCAUUAGUUGCUACGCAAGAGCACUCUAAUGAGACUGCCGGUGACAAACCGGAGGAAGGUGGGGAUGACGUCAAGUCCUCAUGGCCCUUAUGGGUAGGGCUUCACACGUCAUACAAUGGUCGGGACAGAGGGUCGCCAACCCGCGAGGGGGAGCCAAUCUCAGAAACCCGAUCGUAGUCCGGAUCGCAGUCUGCAACUCGACUGCGUGAAGUCGGAAUCGCUAGUAAUCGCGGAUCAGAAUGUCGCGGUGAAUACGUUCCCGGGUCUUGUACACACCGCCCGUCACACCAUGGGAGUGGGUUUCACCAGAAGUAGGUAGCCUAACCGUAAGGAGGGCGCU
This 1109-nucleotide ribosomal RNA is filed under the name Alcaligenes faecalis. Its description in RNAcentral is "bacterial SSU rRNA". It matches the Rfam family "Bacterial small subunit ribosomal RNA", at positions 340 to 1454 of the family's 1533-position model. Lineage: Bacteria; Pseudomonadati; Pseudomonadota; Betaproteobacteria; Burkholderiales; Alcaligenaceae. The record is from RNAcentral.